CCCUUAGAUGUCCUGGGCCGCACGCGCGUUACACUGAUGCAUUCAACGAGCUUAUAACCUUGGCCGAGAGGCCUGGGCAAUCUUGUUAACGUGCAUCGUGAUAGGGAUAGAUUAUUGAAAUUAUUAAUCUUGAACGAGGAAUUCCUAGUAAACGCAGAUCAUCAAUCUGCAUUGAUUACGUCCCUGCCCUUUGUACACACCGCCCGUCGCACCUACCGAUUGAGUGAUCCGGUGAAUAAUUCGGACUGCAGCAGUGUUCAGUUCCUGAACGUUGCAGCGGAAAGUUUAGUGAACCUUAUCACUUAGAGGAAGGAGAAGUCGUAACA
RNAcentral lists this ribosomal RNA (326 nucleotides) under uncultured eukaryote. Its description in RNAcentral is "partial 18S ribosomal RNA". It matches the Rfam family "Eukaryotic small subunit ribosomal RNA", at positions 1470 to 1796 of the family's 1831-position model. The record is from RNAcentral.